GAUUUUGACGAAGGUCCUUGCUGGACAAUAUCAUGGUUCUGAAGCUCUACAUAGAUCAAGAUGGUUGUUACCUAUGAUGAGCUGAUUCAGCCUGACCUAUCCAGGUUUAAAUGCAAAGCUUGCAGCCAAGCACAUUAUCCACAAAGCUUGCAUUACCACCAUGUUCUAGGUCUCUUUUGGAGGCGACGAAGUAGUAUGCUCUUGAUGAGUUGCUUC
Long non-coding RNA from Lolium rigidum, 216 nucleotides. RefSeq lists it as uncharacterized. NCBI's taxonomy places the organism in Eukaryota, Viridiplantae, Streptophyta, Magnoliopsida, Poales, Poaceae. The transcript has 3 exons. The record is from RefSeq and is a predicted model, not a curated record.